AGAAAGGAUGAAUAGAACAAUCAAGG
RNAcentral lists this non-coding RNA (26 nucleotides) under Cricetulus griseus (Chinese hamster). The record is from RNAcentral. Lineage: Eukaryota; Metazoa; Chordata; Mammalia; Rodentia; Cricetidae.